AUGAAUCUGAGAACUUAUUUAUAAGAUUUGGGGGAUUUGUUCAAAAAAAAAAUCUGACGACCUAUUUGUAAACCCUGAGGACCUAAUCGUAAAUAUAAUAAUACAAGGACUAAACUGUAAAAUGCACAAAAUUACAAAUUCCACCGUUUAAGCCUCUCUGCCUUCGUUCAUAAGGAACCAGAGAAGGCAGCUACGUGGAAGAACAGGAGAAAGAAAGAAGGAAGAAGAGAAGAAAAGGGGGAAGAAGAAGAAGAAAAAAAUUUGGGGCUUUGAGGU
Molecule: long non-coding RNA, 276 nt
Filed under: Musa acuminata (dwarf banana)
Lineage: Eukaryota; Viridiplantae; Streptophyta; Magnoliopsida; Zingiberales; Musaceae
Description: long non-coding RNA (MACU_LNC003385)
Source: RNAcentral